RNAcentral lists this transfer RNA (71 nucleotides) under Bos taurus (domestic cattle). It matches the Rfam family "tRNA". Rfam says of the family: Transfer RNA (tRNA) molecules are approximately 80 nucleotides in length. Their secondary structure includes four short double-helical elements and three loops (D, anti-codon, and T loops). The record is from Rfam by way of RNAcentral. RNAcentral also lists the same sequence under 5 other names. Lineage: Eukaryota; Metazoa; Chordata; Mammalia; Artiodactyla; Bovidae.
UCCCUCAUAGCUCAGUUGGUAAAGAAUCUGCCUGCAAUGCAGGAGACACAGGUUCAAUUCCUGGGUGGGAA